This 484-nucleotide ribosomal RNA is filed under the name uncultured bacterium. RNAcentral describes it as "partial 16S ribosomal RNA". It matches the Rfam family "Bacterial small subunit ribosomal RNA", at positions 30 to 507 of the family's 1533-position model. The record is from RNAcentral.
AUUGAACGCUGGCGGCAGGCCUAACACAUGCAAGUCGAGCGGAUGAAGGGAGCUUGCUCCUGGAUUCAGCGGCGGACGGGUGAGUAAUGCCUAGGAAUCUGCCUGGUAGUGGGGGAUAACGUCCGGAAACGGGCGCUAAUACCGCAUACGUCCUGAGGGAGAAAGUGGGGAAUCUUCGGACCUCACGCUAUCAGAUGAGCCUAGGUCGGAUUAGCUAGUUGGUGGGGUAAAGGCCUACCAAGGCGACGAUCCGUAACUGGUCUGAGAGGAUGAUCAGUCACACUGGAACUGAGACACGGUCCAGACUCCUACGGGAGGCAGCAGUGGGGAAUAUUGGACAAAGGGCGAAAGCCUGAUCCAGCCAUGCCGCGUGUGUGAAGAAGGUCUUCGGAUUGUAAAGCACUUUAAGUUGGGAGAAAGGGCAGUAAGUUAAUACCUUGCUGUUUUGACGUUACCAACAGAAUAAGCACCGGCUAACUUCGUG